Molecule: ribosomal RNA, 314 nt
Filed under: uncultured Pseudoflavonifractor sp.
Lineage: Bacteria; Bacillati; Bacillota; Clostridia; Eubacteriales; Oscillospiraceae
Description: bacterial SSU rRNA
Rfam family: Bacterial small subunit ribosomal RNA
Source: RNAcentral
UGGGGAAUAUUGGGGCAAUGGGGGGCAACCCUGACCCAGCAACGCCGCGUGAAGGAAGAAGGCUUUCGGGUUGUAAACUUCUUUGUCAGGGACGAAGAGAGUGACGGUACCUGACGAAUAAGCCACGGCUAACUACGUGCCAGCAGCCGCGGUAAUACGUAGGUGGCAAGCGUUGUCCGGAUUUACUGGGUGUAAAGGGCGCGUAGGCGGGUAUGCAAGUCAGAUGUGAAAUGUAGGGGCUUAACCCCUGAACUGCAUUUGAAACUGUGUAUCUUGAGUAUCGGAGAGGCAGGCGGAAUUCCUAGUGUAGCGGU